UGCGCGACUCCUGCGGGCCGAGCGCGCGAGAAGCGAGAGACCGCGCUGAGGGCCGCGGUCCCGGUGUGCUUGUUAAACAACCCGAAAAGUCGGGCCUUGGGGCUCCUCAUGUGGAUCCUCGGCUGCCCCCACGCAGUCCGUACAAGGUAGCCCUGCCCUCAGAAAUAUGGGCAUUUUCCUUAUAUCCUAAAGAAGUAAAGUGUAGUUGAACAACGUAUGUGUUUGCGUUUCAGGAAGUGGUUGCUUUUUAGGAAGGCAACAGUGUGGAAUGGGAGAGAUGAGAAAACUUUCUUUUGCACCAUAUCUUUUGUAGCUUUUGAAUUUUGCCAUAUAUGGCAACCUUGCCUGUUUAAAAUAAACACUACCAAAGAACUUUAAAAUUGCAUUUGUUGGAAUACUUUUUUGGGCUGUGCUGAGUAUUGAACCCAAGGUCUUGCCCUAACCUACAUCCCCAACCUUUUUUUUUUUUUUUUUGCUGGGGGUGUGUGUGUCUCACUGAUUUGCCUAUUCCUGGUUGGAAGUUGUGACCAUCCUGCUUUGGCCGCCAGAGUGCUGGGAUUACAGAGCCUCAUUCAUCUGCUUUGUUACUUCAUCACCACUUCAGAGAGUCCAGUGCUCUCCCUAAAGAACAAGGAAGAUCUUUCCCAGAAACCUUCAGUCCAGCUUCUCUGUCUCACUAGCCAGAAUGGGAUAAGAUACUCCUUUCCCAACAGAGAGUGAAAGAAGAGUAAGGCCAUCUCAGGCUCAUAAGCCACAGCCUU
This is a long non-coding RNA of Fukomys damarensis (Damara mole-rat), 761 nucleotides long. RefSeq lists it as uncharacterized. The transcript has 3 exons. The record is from RefSeq and is a predicted model, not a curated record. NCBI's taxonomy places the organism in Eukaryota, Metazoa, Chordata, Mammalia, Rodentia, Bathyergidae.